This is a long non-coding RNA of Vitis riparia (riverbank grape), 4404 nucleotides long. RefSeq lists it as uncharacterized. The record is from RefSeq and is a predicted model, not a curated record. NCBI's taxonomy places the organism in Eukaryota, Viridiplantae, Streptophyta, Magnoliopsida, Vitales, Vitaceae. The transcript is spliced from 2 exons.
CUUCAUUGACAAUGAUGCAUGGCAAUGAUUCUUUUCUCGGUUUUAUAUUACUUUUAAGGAUUAAAAGAUCUAUUAUGCAUCCAGUCCCAAUGACUUAUCUUUCCUAUUCUCUACCCAAACCAUAUUCCUACAAUCAUUUUUGCUGCAUCUUUACUGCAAUUCUUGUUUAAUAAACCAAUAUGUUAGAUUCUAAAGAUGUUUUUGACAAUGGAGAAAGAACAAAACAAAAAUAAAACAACGUAACCAAUGGCAAUGGAGGAGAUUGCAACAUGAGAAGAGGUGACCCCAUAUCUGUGCCAUGGAGAUGGCAUAAUAUCGGCAUCUCAAGCCACCAUUUGUUGUUUCCUAUGUUGGAGAUCAUCACUUACACAAAUGAAACGACAUUAGACAACACCAGAUGGUCCUUAUCCUUUUGGUUAUAUAGGUUCCAAUUAAAAUUUCACAGUUACCCAACACAGAGCCUUAGGUGGUAUCCGUUUCCAUCAAUAGUUCAGCCUGAAAUAUCUUUGGAAUAAGCUAGUAACAGUCUAGUCUGUUACCUUCUGGCAUAGCAUCAACACUUUGACUAUGUUGAUGUGGGAUCAAGGCUUCAUGUAGUGGCACCUUGCAUCCAUGAAUGCCUAUGGCAUGUGGAGUGACAUGCCAUGUUCCAAAUAAGGUGACAAGUAGCUAUGCUUGCAAGACUGAAUAACAUGUCAAUGCAUGGAGAAUGAGUAGAGAGGACUAUGGGUGCUAGGUAAUGACUUGGUGGUGACUUGAGGGUAGCAACACAUGGUGACAGCAUGUAGACUUACACACACAAAGCACCACGUGGGUGACUCGACUCAGCAAAAAUUCAAGUGUGGAAUUUCAUUGAGUUGAGAUUUUUCCUAAAAAGAUGAUGCCUUGAGAAGUAGUUUCCAACAGAGGAAUAUUUUUUCUGAAUUUUCUUUAAUUAUAGAAAAUUCAUUAUGCUUGUGAAAUCCAUUAGGAUGUCUCCUCCUAUCAAAAUGAGAAUGCUUAAAAAACUCUUUAGGGAGGGCAAGGAGAGUAUCACUCUCUCCAAAAAUGGUUAUAUAAAGGGUUGGAUUCAUGACUUCUCAAGCUUCGAAAGUAUCUAUGGCUUACCCUAAAAACUCUUAGGAAGAAUCCCAAAAUUCAUAUCAAAGUUGGGGAUUGUGAAUUUCGAAUUCAUCAUAUGGAUUUUCGAAUUAGGCAUUUUUGAAUUCAAAAUUUAAUGCCAAUUUUGAAUUUAGCCACCUAAAAAUGACUUCAAACUUUUAGAACUCAAGUACGCAUUCUUGCUUCCAUGAUGCUUUUGAUUUAACCAUGACCUUCCUAAACUUCAAAAAAUGAAACGUGAUGCAUAUAGUUUGAAGUUUUUGAAAAUCUAAUGAUUUAAAAAUAUUGAAAAAAAAUUGAUGCAAUCAACAAUGCACUUUUAAAGCUUAUUUUCCUUUAAUACCUAAUUGUAUAAACUCAACUCACAUGCCAAAAAUAGGAAACUAAGGAUAUUGCAAUGAGGCAACAUACCUUUAGGAGCUUUACCAUCUCAAAAACAUGCAAUAUCUUUAAACAUCUUGAUUAACACUCUUGGAGGCUCAUAUGCAUUAUCACCCAAAAUAGCUUCAAACAUCUUGGCUACCACUCAAAAAUUUGUUAGGUGAUUACAUCACAUAACUCAACACUAAAACCAACUUGAAAUGACUAAAAACAAAUAAAAAUGAAGAAAAACUCAAACAAAAACCAAAGAGAAACAAAAACAACCCACCAUACAUUACCUCUUAGAAGUUGUUGAAAGGCAUCAUCCAUUUUAAAUCCAUCCAUCAAGGAGAUGGAGAGUUUCCUCUAGUCAUAGGAAUCACUCUUUGAAGAACUUGAGGCAAUGAUCUUGCGCCUUGAACUUAUGGCCCAUUUUAGGAUUGAGUAAGGUGAUGAGCAAAACGUAAGGACUUCCUUCUCGCCUAGCUUGAACUUUCUUCUCAAAUUGCCCUUAUUGUGGUAGAAUUUUGACUUGUCUGUUACUCUCCUCCACCAUUCAUAUAGUUUUUCCUCCAAAACUCCUAACACUUAUCAUUCAUCUUAACUCUCUUACAUUCCUUGGGAAUGUUUAGCAACUUCCUUUUACUCUUUCCUUUUACUCUCUUAGUUGACAAAUUUGAAUCAACCUUUGGCUUCAUAUUGUUUAAGGUUUGGUCAAUAGGCUUCUAGAUGAGAGUUUCUAGUUGGAAAACUUCCUCAUUCUCAACCUCCUCGUGUUCAACUUGUUGGUUAUUCAAGUUAAGUACUUUCAAAUAUAGUGCCAUAUUACCGAAAGAGAGUUAUAUUACCCCAUUUUGACAAUUGAUGAGGGCAUUUGUUGUUGCCGAAAGGGUUUCUUAAGAAUGAUUGGCAUAGAAUUCACUCCCCUUCAUGGUGGCUCAAUGUCUAAUACUAUAAAAUCCACAAGAUAAUAGAACCUGUCAACUCGUACUAACACAUCCUCCAUUACUCCUUUUAGCCUUUGGAUGGAUCAAUCAGGGAAGGAUAAGUUCAUGGUAGUGGCCUUGAGUUAUCCUAAACCUAACUACUUGUAGAGGGAGUAAGGUACGAGACUCACAGUAGCUUCCAAAUCAAGUAAAGCCUUUUCCACAUAUGUAUCUCCUAUUUUCACUGAAACAGUGAGGUAGCCCAGGUCUUUGUAUUUUACUACAACUAUAUUCUCAAUUAUCACACUCACUUUUUCAAUGAGGAAUGUUUUCUUGCUAAACUUGAUCCUUCUUUUCAUAGUCCACGGAUCUUUUAGAAAUUUGGUAUAUGCAAAAACCUACUUGAUCAUAUCCAGAAGAGGAUAUUUAUCUUAACCUGUUUCAACACUGUUAACAUUUCUGAGAUCUCACCCCUUAUCCUCUACCUUUGAAUUGCUCUAGGAAAUGGUAAAGGGUUAGCAAAUUUUCCCUUCUCACUAACUAUUGAUUUCUUCAAGCCUUUCACAUUCCCUUUCCAUUUCCAUAUCUGCUUCCAAGGUUGAAACAUUUUCUUUAGUACCCUUGUCUUCUAUCAUUGGUUGCGUAGGCCCUUUACAUCCUUUUCCACUUCUAAGUGUGAUCACUGCCUUGCAUUCUUUAUUCCUUACCUUUGAAAUUUUGCAUGCUUCCCUCGAGUUUUGAUAUGGAUGAGCAGGAAAGUUUGGCUCUCUUUGCCAAAUCAUUCUACUGGCUAAAGAUUAAACAUGAGGUGGUUGCCCUAUGUCAAGUCAUGCUUAGUAGGUCAAUUGAUAAGACAAAGAAGAAAGAAAUGGAAUUACUACAACCUUUGCCUAUCCCUGAGAAUCCUUGCAAAGCAUUUCAAUGGACAAAUGGAAUUACUACAGCCUUUGCCUGUCCCUGAGAAUCCUUGCAAAGCAUUUCAAUGGACUUAAUUAAUAGGUUCCCAAAAGUUCAAGGGUACAAGUCAGUUUUUGUUAUUAUGAUUUGAUUUCCCAAAUAUGGUGGUUUUUAUCUUCACCACAUGCGGACUUACUUAAUAGGUUCCCAAAAGUUCAAGGAUACAAGUCAGUUUUUGUUAUCAUGAAUUGAUUUUCCAAAUAUGGUGGUUUUUAUCUUCACCACAUGCAUGUCCUGCUAAGAAAAUAACCUAUUUGUUCUUCAACCAUGUAGUUAAACAUUAUAGUUUACUAGAAGAUAUAGUAAACAAUAGAGACUCUCACUAAUGGGAAAAUCUUAGGUAGAGCUCUUCAAGAUGCUAGGAUUAGAAUUAAAGUUCUCAACUACAAAUCACCCUCAAACAAAGGCGGACUAAGAAGGUGAAUGCAAUAUUAGAAGAAUAUUUAAGGCAUUAUGUGAUUCCUAUGCAGAAAGUUGGCUAGAAUUGUUGGAAGUGGCUUAGUUGUGUUACAAUUUAUAUAAAAACUCUUCCAUAGGAUUAAUCCCAUUUAAGGUGGCAACUGGGUAGCAACCUCACAAGCCUUUAGAUAUGUUGGCUAGGAUGUAGAUUAGGUGCAACAUCAGUAUUGUCGCAUUAAGAUUUGUGAAAUUUCUGUAGGAAAUACUUGAAGAAGCCAAAAAAAGUUUAAAUAAAGCUAGUAGACAAAUGAAAAUUUAUGCUAACAAAUGCCCUUAGAAAUCCAAGUGGGUGACAAAGUGUUGCUAAAGCUUACACCACAAAUUUAGAAGAAGAUUAGCAGCAAGAGGGUACAAAGGGGCUUGAUCCCCGAAUAUGAUGGGUCCUCUCAAAUUAAUAAAGAAGAUUAGUGUUGUUGCAUUUAGGUUGAACUCCCUGAUAGAUUGAAAAUUCAUCCUUUUUAUAUGAGUUUCUUGAAGUCCUUUCAUGAGGAUCAAGAUCCCAUCGAGUGCAACACAAGUGUGCACUAUCAACUAUUCAAAAGCAAUUUGAUUGAGAGAUUUAUAGGAUCUUAGAUCAUCAGACUAUGGGAGUACACAAAAA